RNAcentral lists this ribosomal RNA (306 nucleotides) under Salmonella enterica subsp. enterica serovar Worthington. Its description in RNAcentral is "bacterial LSU rRNA". It matches the Rfam family "Bacterial large subunit ribosomal RNA", at positions 367 to 676 of the family's 2925-position model. Lineage: Bacteria; Pseudomonadati; Pseudomonadota; Gammaproteobacteria; Enterobacterales; Enterobacteriaceae. The record is from RNAcentral.
ACAGCCCCGUACACAAAAGCUCACAUGCUGUGAGCUCGAUGAGUAGGGCGGGACACGUGGUAUCCUGUCUGAAUAUGGGGGGACCAUCCUCCAAGGCUAAAUACUCCUGACUGACCGAUAGUGAACCAGUACCGUGAGGGAAAGGCGAAAAGAACCCCGGCGAGGGGAGUGAAAAAGAACCUGAAACCGUGUACGUACAAGCAGUGGGAGCACAGGUUUACCUGUGUGACUGCGUACCUUUUGUAUAAUGGGUCAGCGACUUAUAUUCUGUAGCAAGGUUAACCGAAUAGGGGAGCCGUAGGGAAA